RNAcentral lists this long non-coding RNA (2642 nucleotides) under Capsicum annuum. RNAcentral describes it as "long non-coding RNA (CANN_LNC017855)". Lineage: Eukaryota; Viridiplantae; Streptophyta; Magnoliopsida; Solanales; Solanaceae. The record is from RNAcentral.
UCUUUUGAAAAAUUUCCUCCUAUUUUUUUUCCUUCGAGAAAUAGGAGAAGGCAACAGUCUACUUCUCCUACUUCUCCCACUUUGAAAAAUGUACAAAAAAAAAGAGAGAGAAAGAAAUAACUGCACAACUAAAGGGAGUAGAAGAUACCUUAAUGAAAAAGUUAGAUAAAUAGAAAAUAUUCUUAUACAAAGGGUGAUCUACAAUAAUAAUAUGAUUUGGGGCUUGCAAACUUCACACACAGAGUGAUUGCGCAAUGAAAUUAUGAUGAGUCAACAUUCUUUAAUUUUCUAGACCCAUCAACUUUUCCAAUAUCAAGAUGGUACUCACCAGAAGAAUCGACUCAAAUGGAGCUUCUGGAAGAGCAACCACACCUGCUGUGGACGCUGACAAUUUUUGAUUGGGUUAAUUUAAAUUUGAUAAAUAUGAUCACUGUGACGACAUGAUAUCUAAUUGGUUAGAUUUAAAUAAUGUCGUUACAAUAUCAUAUUUCUUGACCACACCAAUCUUAUGAGGAAUAACAAUUAGGAAAUCAAGACCAGAAUGCGAUGAGCGAAAGGGCAGAGAGAAGUGAAAGAAAAAAAAUACAAAGAAAGAAAGAUAAGAAAACUCCUCGAAUAAUGUCAAUGAAGCAUCACUUAAAAUUUUUGAGGUAGGCCAAUCGAGUAUGAUGCAUCCAACAGAAUAAGAGGAGAAUUUUAUUGAUGAUACUCAAGACGGAGAGGGAUCUUUGGGAGGGGCCAACAAUAUAUAUGAGGUUGUAUUUAUUCCGGAGGAUGAAACAUUUAAAUUGGAGAAAAAUUUAUAGCUGGUAACUUUCAUUACUCUUUUGUUUUGUUGAUAGUGUAUAUAUGGUUGAAAGUUACCUCUUUUUUAUAAGAAUUAGUAAAAUCUUUUAAUUACCUCUUUUGAACUAGUAUUUGAAGAAACUAUUGGUGUAGAAAAGCUUUCUGAUGAUCUUUUGCUGAAAAAAUGCAAUGCAAAAUAUUCUUUUAUUAAAUAUCGAAAUACUUUAUUACUACCAUUAAAGUUACCCCAAGAAACUUGUGCACAGAUAAGGUUAGGUGCUAACUCUGCUUUUAUUGAUAUUAAUUUAUUUAUCUUAUUUACUUGCAUCUGGAUUCUUAACAUAUGAGAAGGAAGACUCAUAGCACAAACUAAGCAAGCAAAAGUAAUUAAAAGUCAAUAAAUAAUUUUCACUUGAAUUUUCUUGAGAAAAUUGAAGAAAAGGUUUCUUUUAAAUCUUGAAUGAAGGAUUAGUGACAUUGACCAACUUAAAGGGUCAAACAAUAUUAGGAAACUUGAUUAAGUUAAUUAUGGACUUGAUUAAUAUUUUCAAAACUUUCUAAUCUUUUCAAAAAUACAAAUCAACUCAUACACCUCUUCAAGCCAAAUCAACCAGUCUCUCUCCUCUCUCUCUCUCUCAACAGCAUCUCUCAACUCUCUCUCAACCAACAAUUCUGCAAAAUUAUCUCUUCAAUCCCCGAAGACUUCAACCUCUGGUGAAAAAUAGUCGGGCGAGUUUUCUUUUAACUUUUAACUGUCAAUCAAAAAUAGAGGAACUUGAGCCAACUACUCUUCUAGUAUUGAAAUGUGGACUGAAUAAAACUCUAAUUUCUAGCAUUUCUUCUUGUUGUUUCAUACUGUUGAUUCAAAUUUGUUGGUGAUUUUUGUUUGUAGUUGAUUUUUGUAGUGGAGACCCCUUCUUAGUGUAUGUGUGUAUGAUGUUUUGGUGUUGCUGGGUUGAUUUGUUGUUUAUCUUGGUAAAAAUGGUAUUGCAAUAGAUAAAACAUAUGAUGCAACAGAUUAAGACAUCUGAUGCAACAGAUGAAAAUAUCUAAUACAGCAGAUAAAAAUAUCUAAUGCAAUAGAUUAAAAUCUGAUAUAACUAUGAAAAUCUGAUGCAACAGAUAAACAAUCUAACAGAUCAUUCGUCUGUUGCAAUAGAAGACUCUUCUAUUUGGAAGAAAUCUAAACAAUAUUGAUCCAAUAGAUAACUCAUUUUGCAACAGAUGAGUGAUAUGUUUCAACAGAUCAGUGAUCUGUUUUUAUGGUUUCCAACAGAUUACUCAUCCAUUGCAACAGGUUGAUUAUAUAUUGCAAUAGAUAACUACCUGGUCCAACAAAUUAGUGAUCUAUUUUUAUUAUUUUCAACGGUUUACUUAUCCGUUGCAACAGGUCGGUUAUAUGUUGCAAUAGAUAACAUACCUGGUGCAAUAAACGUGUGAUCUAUUUUUACUGUUUCCAAUGGAUUACUCUUCCAUUGCAAUAGGUUGGUUAUAUAUUGCAACAAAUUAGUGAUCUAUUUUUAUUGUUUCCAAUAAUUUACUCAUUCAUUGCAACAGGUUAGUUAUAUAUUACAACAGAUACCAUACUAAGUACAGCAGGUGUGUGAUCUAUUUUGGAUUACUCAUCCGUUGCAACAGUUUGGUUAUAUGUUGUAACAGAUAAACUACCUGGUGCAACAGAUUAGUGAUCUAUUUUUACUGUUUCCAACGGAUUACUCAUCUUUGCAACAGGUUGGUUAGAUGUUGCAACAGUUAAACUACCUGGUGCAACAGAUUAGAGAUCUAUUUUUAUUAUUUCCAACAGUUUACUCAUCCAUUGCAACAGGUCGAUUAUAUAUUACAACAGACAACAUACC